AUAAUUUUAAGUCAUAUUAAACUUCAUUUUUUUAUUUGUAUCACCCCCCCCCCCCCCCCCCCCUCNNNNNNNNNNNNNNNNNNNNCCCUUUGGAUAUUCUAGCACAUUUUACUUGUGGAUUCCCCCUCUACACUGUCACAGCUGUAACUUGUAGCACAGGCUGUGGGAGUCUAAAUCUUUUCUGUAAUUCAUGUAAUGACCCAAUAUAGUUCAAGUGCCCUCACAAAUCCAAUGGAAUUUGUUUAUCCUGAGGCUGAUGCUCAAGCAUGAACAAGAAAAAUACAAAUAAGGUGUUUGAAUGCAAGGGCUGUUGCAGAAAUAACUUUAUUUGAUCAUUUCCAUUACACAAUAGCAUGUUUAUUAUAUACAAAGAGUGUCAAAGACCAUAUUCUUCACACUAGAACAUCUAUUACAUAAUUAUAUUGCAGUGUAAGGGUGUAUCUUAAUGUAUAAUGUUACAUUCUGAUAUUCUGUCAUUCAUUUUGCAGGUAAAAUCAUUCACAGGUACCACAAGACAUAUCACAAUGGAUCAAAAUGCUGAACAGCCAAAGCAAAAUCAUACCCAUCUGGCUACAAAGUCAUAAUAAUAACUUUGUCUUGAUAGUUUUAUCACUGCUAACAAAAUUAAUUAUUUCUAAUAAAUGAUAAUUCAUUAUUCUUUAAAAAAGAGGUUGAACUAUGAACGUCUCACCAUCAAAUAAUUCUGCAAUUAGACCAAAAAGAGAUUAUAUAAUUAAAAUAUUGUAAAAUAAAGUUUUCACUACAGACAAAAGAGUAAGAAAGUGAAGAGAGGAAAUGAGAAAAGCAUGCUUUUUAAAAGCUACCACACUAUUUAAAGGCUUGAAUGUAUCAUGCAACUACCUGA
RNAcentral lists this long non-coding RNA (865 nucleotides) under Paramuricea clavata. Lineage: Eukaryota; Metazoa; Cnidaria; Anthozoa; Malacalcyonacea; Plexauridae. The record is from RNAcentral.